CCAGUUGGCUGGGCAGCCGCGCUUCGCAAGGGUCGAAAGGCCGCGAGGUGAGGAAAGUCCGGGCUCCACGGAAACACGGCGCCGGAUAACGUCCGGCGGGGGCGACCCCAGGGAAAGUGCCACAGAGAACGAACCGCCCGGCAUGCCGGGUAAGGGUGAAAAGGUGGGGUAAGAGCCCACCGCGGACCUGGCGACAGGGACGGCACGGCAAACCCCGCCGGGAGCAAGACCGAAUAGGGACGACAUGUGUGCGCAAGCGCCAGGGCCGUUUCCGGCCUCGUCGUCCGGGUGGGUUGCGCGAGGCGAUGCGCGAGCAUCGUCCCAGAUGAAUGGCUGCCAUGUCCCGGGUGACCGGGGCCGCACAGAACCCGGCUUACAGGCCAACUGGCAUC
This 392-nucleotide RNase P RNA is filed under the name Rhizobiaceae bacterium. Its description in RNAcentral is "RNase P RNA component class A". It matches the Rfam family "Bacterial RNase P class A". From Rfam's summary of the family: Ribonuclease P (RNase P) is a ubiquitous endoribonuclease, found in archaea, bacteria and eukarya as well as chloroplasts and mitochondria. Its best characterised activity is the generation of mature 5'-ends of tRNAs by cleaving the 5'-leader elements of precursor-tRNAs. Lineage: Bacteria; Pseudomonadati; Pseudomonadota; Alphaproteobacteria; Hyphomicrobiales; Rhizobiaceae. The record is from RNAcentral.